GGGUCCGUAACGGUUUCGACAGGUUGGCGAAAGCUACUCUGUGAUUCAGGUCGAGAGUGAGUCGUCUCUCGCAAAUCAAAGACUCAAACAAAUGUAAAUGCGAACAACAUCGUAAAAUUUGAGCGUGUAGCAGUAGCUGCUUAAUCUAAACCUCUCAAAGGUACGCUCGCUUCUAGUUUGACUCCGUUAAGGAUUAGAGGCAAACCCCAACGGAUGCGUGAGUAAGUUCCCUCUGGUGGACUUAUUAGCAAAGACUUUACCAGAGCAUCCUACCGUUCGGGAUAAUGAACGUUCCCCGUCUUGAGGGUUAGAUAGACUAAACCUGUGAACGAACGGGGUGUUAAUACCCAAUUUGGACAGCAGUUCGACUCUGCUCGGAUCCACUA
This 386-nucleotide transfer-messenger RNA is filed under the name Nostocaceae. RNAcentral describes it as "336-3 sp000734895 Standard tmRNA". It matches the Rfam family "transfer-messenger RNA". From Rfam's summary of the family: Bacterial tmRNA, also known as 10Sa RNA or SsrA, is named for its dual tRNA and mRNA-like properties. Lineage: Bacteria; Bacillati; Cyanobacteriota; Cyanophyceae; Nostocales. RNAcentral also lists the same sequence under 1 other name. The record is from RNAcentral.